GGUGUGGACUGAGAACGCCCCACAAAUUGGAAGGCAUGAAGUUUGGAAACUGCAAUGGGUGGUUCCAUUGUUUUCCUGCAUUUUCUACAAAAUUCAAUAUUAUGCUAAUUUCAUUGCCGAUCCCAAGCCUGGGUAAAGGAGGAGGGAGAAAGGCUUGAGUGUCGAAAACUCAAUAGCAGAGGAAGCUGGUGAAGAGAAGGAUAGAUUUGGUUUAUGGGGGAGGGAGUGUGGGAUUGAUGGGUUUGAUCUCCCAAGCUGUUUAUGAUGGAGGCUGCCAUGUUCUUGGGGUUAUUCCAACAGCUCUUAUGCCUCUUGAGGUAUGUAAAACAUUCAUCUUGAGCUUUUUCCCUCUAUUCAUAGCUCCUCUACAGCAUGUCUUCAAUUACUAUUUUUUCAUUUCUUACUAGGACUUUCUUGGUUAGAUAAGGAAUUUGGUUGCUGGGUUUUGGUCUUCAGACUACUAAAUCUCACAAACUUAUAAGUUAGAAUUGUAUAGAAUAAAUUCUGUUGAUUUUUGUAAAUGGCACGUAACUUGCUUUUGACAUCUGUUCUAAUAUUCUUUAAAAAGAGAUUUGUCCCAUGGGCAUCUGUUCUACUAACCGACUUUCUAAUGUGCAUGUACAUGGAACUCUUGUGGCAUACUGCAACUAUUUGAAAUCAUAGCAACUUGCUGAAUCAACAUUUGGUUUGUAGUCUGUUGACUGUCCCCUGCACUGAGCAUGAUUUAUAUCAUUCCAUUGUUUCUUUUAGAAUUAACAACUCUUUGAUUGAUUAUCUCUUAGAGAUGCAUUUACCAAUCUCUUAGAGUUGCAUUUACUAGCUUCGGUGAUGUGGUUGAAGGUGAGUUGGAUAAUCUAUAUUAGUUCUUUUGAAGCAUUUUGUGGAUAUGAAAUAAAUUAAGAGUGUAUGAUCCUCUCAUCUUGAUGAUCAAGGUUUGCCUGUUGGUCAGUGAUCCAAACCCUCGAUAUGUUAAGCCCCACUGCAAACAUAGCCUUGUCCCAGCAAUUUGGGUCAGACUGAUGAUUGCUUGGAAGAAAUUUAGUGACUGGCAAGUUUUUUGAGAGAUGGUUAAACCUGUAAUCGUGUUGUGUGACAUUUUCCUUCUAUUCAUCAAGUGAGCACUAUGGUUUAGUACAACUCUAACAUGAUAUGCAAAAUGGUUGUUUUGAGCUACAAUUAUCUGUUAAAGUUUGGUGUCCUUGGAUUUGAGUUGGAUUAUUCAAUGGAAAAUCCAAAUUCAUUGGUUGUGUGGGAAGCUUAGUUUGGAGAUUUUUCAAAUGGUGCUCAAGUGAUGUUUGAUCAGUUUUUGAGUAGUGGAGAGUCAAAGUGGCCAUGCCAAACUGGGCUUCUUGUGUUACUUCCUUAUGGUUAUGAUGGUCAGGGCCCUGAAUAUUCAAGUGC
Molecule: RNA transcript, 1401 nt
Organism: Magnolia sinica
Lineage: Eukaryota; Viridiplantae; Streptophyta; Magnoliopsida; Magnoliales; Magnoliaceae
Gene name: ATP-dependent DNA helicase Q-like 2
Exons: 4
Source: RefSeq, a predicted model, not a curated record